CAGAGUACGUGAAACCGUUCAGGGGUAAACCUGAGAAACCCAAAAGAUCGAAUGGGGAGAUUCAUCGUCAGCGAUUUUGGUACGUGUGCGGCUCGCGAUGCUAGAGGCUUCGGUCUGCAGGCACGCGUCCGCAUGUUUUUUAUUGCCUCGAUCGUCGGCGUGCACUUCUCCCCUAGUAGGACGUCGCGACCCGUUGGGUGUCGGUCUACGGCCCGGGUGGUAGCCUGUCUCGUGUUCGCUUCGCGGCGUUACGCGGUUCAGACCCCCGGUCGCCCGACCGGCUGCUCGGCGGUACUCGCACGGUAUCUGGCCGCAAAUAUUCGAACUGCGUCCGGCCCGUCGCAAGCGCGGCAAGUGUUUUCCCAGUUGUACGGAUCUAAUGCCGUCACCGGGCCUUGCCAGCUGUUGGCUGACGGUGUCCUAGGACUGGCUAAUGCAAUUAUGAUACCGGUCGGCGACGCUACUGCUUUGGGUACUUUCAGGACCCGUCUUGAAACACGGACCAAGGAGUCUAACAUGUGCGCGAGUCAUUGGGAACUAUUAAGCCUAAAGGCGCAAUGAAAGUGAAGGUCGGCCUUGCGCCGACCGAGGGAGGAUGGGCCGCGUCACGAUGCGGUCCCGCACUCCCGGGGCGUCUCGUUCUCAUUGCGAGAAGAGGCGCACCCAGAGCGUACACGUUGGGACCCGAAAGAUGGUGAACUAUGCCUGGUCAGGACGAAGUCAGGGGAAACCCUGAUGGAGGUCCGUAGCGAUUCUGACGUGCAAAUCGAUCGUCGGAACUGGGUAUAGGGGCGAAAGACUAAUCGAACCAU
This 812-nucleotide ribosomal RNA is filed under the name Photocryptus concinnus. RNAcentral describes it as "partial 28S large subunit ribosomal RNA". It matches the Rfam family "Eukaryotic large subunit ribosomal RNA", at positions 391 to 943 of the family's 3401-position model. Lineage: Eukaryota; Metazoa; Arthropoda; Insecta; Hymenoptera; Ichneumonidae. The record is from RNAcentral.